Molecule: long non-coding RNA, 367 nt
Organism: Boleophthalmus pectinirostris (great blue-spotted mudskipper)
Lineage: Eukaryota; Metazoa; Chordata; Actinopteri; Gobiiformes; Gobiidae
Exons: 3
Source: RefSeq, a predicted model, not a curated record
AAGAUAGAGAGCAGAGAGACAUCUUUCUGGAUUUGCAGCUUUAGAACAGAGUUUUAUAGAAGGCAAAGUGAAACACGGGAGGACCGCUAAAUCACAGUCAGUUCACUGCUCACGUCCAGUGUUUGCUAACGUGUGCAUUGUGUCGCCAUGGUAACUGCUGCAAGUAUGUGGAAUGUUCAGGACACCCCCAACGUGAUGACACUGCAAAGUAUCGAUACUCAUUUACCAGAAUACAAUCCGGCCUGUUUAGCACCCUUCACAAAGAUAGGGUGAGGGUGAGGGUGAUGUCAACGCCAAAUAAACUUAAUUAGACUUGUGAGUGCCGUCUCCACUGCUCCAGAAGGUUUAUUUACACAUGUAUUUAAAC